This is a non-coding RNA of Delphinapterus leucas (beluga whale), 257 nucleotides long. The record is from RefSeq and is a predicted model, not a curated record. NCBI's taxonomy places the organism in Eukaryota, Metazoa, Chordata, Mammalia, Artiodactyla, Monodontidae.
UUGUUUUUCACAUGGCUCCUGAUGAAGGGGUGGCAACUUGUAGAAAAGAGAAACAGUGAUUCAGUGGUGGUUUGGAAGAUUGGGAUGAAACACAUUGUCUCAGGGCUGUUUCGACAGCAUGCUGGGCUUCUUCCUCAUAUUGUCACCUGUGAUCAUAAGAUGUUUACAAUCAAGUUGUGAAAGUUGGGCUAUGGGCUUGAAAGUGAAGAGUGAGAGAAAGAAGUUUGGAAUACUUUGGGAUCCAGCUCAUCACACGU